AUUGAACGCUGGCGGCAGGCCUAACACAUGCAAGUCGAGCGGAUGAAGGGAGCUUGCUCCUGGAUUCAGCGGCGGACGGGUGAGUAAUGCCUAGGAAUCUGCCUGGUAGUGGGGGAUAACGUCCGGAAACGGGCGCUAAUACCGCAUACGUCCUGAGGGAGAAAGUGGGGGAUCUUCGGACCUCACGCUAUCAGAUGAGCCUAGGUCGGAUUAGCUAGUUGGUGGGGUAAAGGCCUACCAAGGCCACGAUCCGUAACUGGUCUGAGAGGAUGAUCAGUCACACUGGAACUGAGACACGGUCCAGACUCCUACGGGAGGCAGCAGUGGGGAAUAUUGGACAAUGGGCGAAAACCUGAUCCAGCCAUGCCGCGUGUGUGAAGAAGGUCUUCGGAUUGUAAAGCACUUUAAGUUGGGAGGAAGGGCAGUAAGUUAAUACCUUGCUGUUUUGACGUUACCAACAGAAUAAGCACCGGCUAACUUCGUG
Molecule: ribosomal RNA, 484 nt
Filed under: uncultured bacterium
Lineage: Bacteria
Description: partial 16S ribosomal RNA
Rfam family: Bacterial small subunit ribosomal RNA
Source: RNAcentral